Molecule: ribosomal RNA, 253 nt
Filed under: uncultured bacterium
Lineage: Bacteria
Description: partial 16S ribosomal RNA
Rfam family: Bacterial small subunit ribosomal RNA
Source: RNAcentral
UACGUAGGGUGCAAGCGUUGUCCGGAAUCAUUGGGUUUAAAGGGUCCGUAGGCGGUUUUGUAAGUCAGUGGUGAAAGCCCAUCGCUCAACGGUGGAACGGCCAUUGAUACUGCAAGACUUGAAUUAUUGGGAAGUAACUAGAAUAUGUAGUGUAGCGGUGAAAUGCUUAGAGAUUACAUGGAAUACCAAUUGCGAAGGCAGGUUACUACCAAUAUAUUGACGCUGAUGGACGAAAGCGUGGGGAGCGAACAGG